GACGGCGGACGCACCAACGGCCCGUCCCAGUCGCUGCGUCGACGGGGCGGAGUGAGAGCGUGCACGUUGGGACCCGAAAGAUGGUGAACUAUGCCUGGGCAGGACGAAGCCAGAGGAAACUCUGGUGGAGGUCCGCAGCGAUUCUGACGUGCAAAUCGAUCGUCAGACCUGGGUAUAGGGGCGAAAGACUAAUCGAACCAUCUAGUAGCUGGUUCCCUCCGAAGUUUCCCUCAGGAUAGCUGGCGCUCGGAGGAAGCAUUCUCAUCCGGUAAAGCGAAUGAUUAGAGGCCUUGGGGCCGAAACGACCUCAACCUAUUNNNNNNNNUUAAAUGGGUGAGAAGUCCGGCUUGCUCGACUGAAGCCCGGACGUGAGGAUGCGAGUGCCCAGUGGGCCACUUUUGGUAAGCAGAACUGGCGCUGUGGGAUGAACCAAACGCCGGGUUAAGGCGCCCGAUGCGAGACGCUCAUGAGACCCCAUGAAAGGUGUUGGUUGCUACAGACAGCAGGACGGUGGCCAUGGAAGUCGGAAUCCGCUAAGGAGUGUGUAACAACUCACCUGCCGAAGCAACUAGCCCUGAAAAUGGAUGGCGCUUCAGCGUCGAGCCCAUACCCGGCCGUCGCGGCUGUAGGUACUUGUGCUUUAUGUCGCGACGAGUAGGAGGGCGCAGGGGUGUGCGUUGAAGGUGCCGGGCGCGAGCCCGUCUGGAGCCGCCCCUGGUGCAGAUCUUGGUGGUAGUAGCAAAUACUCAAGUGAGAACCUUGAGGACUGAGGUGGAGAAGGGUUCCAUGUGAACAGCAGUUGAACAUGGGUCAGUCGGUCCUAAGGGAUAGGAGAAAUCCGUUCCGAAGCGGGACCUUUAUUAUUGCUCGUUGGUCCCGCCGCAGACCGAAAGGGAAUCGGGUUAAUAUUCCCGAACCCGGACAUGGAGAUCGACCCCUCACGGGGUCCAGUGCGGUAACGCAAACGAACUCGGAGACGUCGACGGGAGUCCCGGGAAGAGUUGUCUUUUCUUUGUAAGGGCUCGGCUCCCUGGAAUCGGCUCGCCCGGAGAUAGGGAUGCUGUACCCGUAAAGCACCGCGCCUCUUGCGGUGUCCGGAGCGCUCCCGUCGGCCCUUGAAAAUCCGAGCGAGAGGUUGUGAUUUUCGUGCCGGACCGUACCCAUAUCCGCAGCAG
This 1175-nucleotide ribosomal RNA is filed under the name Stylocellus sp. Sulawesi 4. RNAcentral's name for it is "eukaryotic LSU rRNA". It matches the Rfam family "Eukaryotic large subunit ribosomal RNA", at positions 745 to 1862 of the family's 3401-position model. The record is from RNAcentral. Lineage: Eukaryota; Metazoa; Arthropoda; Arachnida; Opiliones; Stylocellidae.